Long non-coding RNA from Oncorhynchus tshawytscha (Chinook salmon), 716 nucleotides. The record is from Ensembl. NCBI's taxonomy places the organism in Eukaryota, Metazoa, Chordata, Actinopteri, Salmoniformes, Salmonidae.
CUCUUUCCCUCUGCUCCUCUGUCCCUCUUUAGGUCCUCCUCUUUCCCUCUGCUCGUCUCUGUCCCUCUUUAGGUCCUCCUCGUUCUCUCUGCACCUCUUUAGGUCCUCCUCUUUCCCUCUGCUCCUCUCUAGGUCCUCCUCUGCUCCGAUCUGUCCCUCUAGGUCCUCCUCUUUCCCUCUGCUCCUCCUCCUCUGUCCCUCUUCAGGUCCUCCUCUUUCUCUUUCCCUCUGCUCCUCUCUGACACACUUUAGGUCUUCCUCUUUCCCUCUGCUCCUCUCUGACCCUAAUUAGGUCUUCCUCUGCUCCACUCUGUCCCUCUUUAGGUCCUCCUCUUUCAGCUUUGUAUUUAGUUCUUUAUGUUGUGCUGUUUUUCUUCUCCAUUCACCUGUUCUGAAUGCUUUCCUGUCUUCUGAGCUCCUGUGAAAAACUGCUUUCAUCUUUCAGUAGUCUAGUCAGAAUAUUCCCUCAUGUUCUAUGCCCCUUGCUUUCAUUUUCCUCUUGUACCGGCUGUCUGUCACCUCUUAUUCCUGUGUGCUUUUCUCUUCCUAGAACUUAUUUUCCUUCAUUAUGAAUUUACACAGAAGAGAUGAAUCUUGUAGAAUGUUCUCUCCACGACAUGCUAAUGAGGAUUUCUAUUGCUAUUCUGUGGCUUGUUGCUUCUUCAGCCUACUCAAUUUCCUCAUGCAAAAGCAUGCCUUUUCCCAACUGCUCUCUG